UGAAAUUAAUAAAUUUUUCGUAAUAUUUUCUUUGAUUUGCGACAAUCGCCAUAAUAUUCGCAGUUCGGUAGCGAAUGUCAACAUGUCCAGAUCAUUUUCCGUAGAAAACCCCGAGAGGGUUGUUUUGUAAAAUCUACAAACUGUGAACAUUAUCGAAGCAUUGUAGAAGCCCAGGGACAGUUAUGACAAAUUAAAUCAUAGUUGUUUAUGCCCGGGAAAUUCCGAUCAGCCAAAAGGGAAGCUUGAACUUGAAGGUCACAAACAUGUGCAAGAUUGCAGAUCCACGUUGCCUCGUCUGAUGUCAUGUCGUGUGCAGUGAGCAUGAGAAAAACAACCCUACUUUACCCUAGACUAGAAAAAAGACUGGAGGUCAGAAUGCAGGAUGAUUGAGCAAGGAGUGCUGGCAGAUGGACUAUUGAGGUCAACAAAAAAUUUGGACUUUCACCAGGUGGACACAUGUUCAGCAAGAAAUUCUCACAUCAAAUGAAUGAUGGCUGUCUGUGGAAAAGAGAUUUUCUCAGAAUAUAUCAUGUCAGAAGCAGGAAUUACAUUAUUUAUCUGAUCAAAGAAAUGUUUUUGUAGAAAUGUGGAAGUCAAUGCAUGUUAUCAAAGUCACUGCUGCUUGUUGCAUGAUUCCAUUCUUGAUUUUUUUUUUUAGAAACUUUCAUUCAAAAAUAGUUUUAUUUAUAAUUAUAUAAUGUUUAAUUAUUUGAUUCCCAAGUACCCGAUACAGUGCAUGCUUUGUAGAAUGUGAUUACUUUACAAAAUCUUUGAUUCAGAUUUGAAAUCUUACUCUCAGAGCGAAUUUUUCAAGCAUUAUCUUUCAUUAGAUUACAAUGUGAAGAUUUACAUGUACUGGCAUUACAACAACUUGUAAAUGAUAUAUACCUAGCUCUAUGUAUUCAGUUGCUUUACAUUUUCAAAUACAGUUAAAAUCUUAAAAUACAGUUCUGGAAUACCAAAAAAUGUGCCUGCUUUAGAUCAUUUAGUUAAAGGGUGAUUUUAAGCAAGAGCAUGCCGAACAAAAUUGGUGGUAGUGGCCGGGUUAAAAUUUAGAUUUUUACAAAUGAACUAAUAUACAUGUACUUGCAGUAGAAACCCUCAAGAGGUAAUUUUUAAUUCAAUUUCAAUACAAGUUAUUGACACUGAUCAAUAAAUGUUUGUGCUACAAAUUCUCAAAAAGAAAUUUCAUCCUUGAAUAAGUAUUUUGCAUCUAAAUGUGAAAUUAAGUUUGAUAGCUGCAUGCAUAUUAUUGUUACAAAGUUCAAGGAUGUCAUAUUCAGGCAAAGAUGUCAAAGGGCAUUUGAUUGUCAUAGAUGGCUUUUUUGUUAUCUUAAAACUCCAGCAAAUUUUACGCAAUAUAUGAUCACAUUGAGGAGUUAUAUUUAUUGGUGCUGAACAAACUAUAUACUUAUAAAUGUGUGUAGGUAUUUAUUGUCCCUCGCUUUCGCGAAAGAGAGGGGACAUUAAAUCUCAUUCUUUGUCGGUCUGUCUGUCACAAAAACUUUAACCUUGGCCAUAACUUUUGAGUGAGAAGAGAUUGGGCUUUUGUAUUUCACAUGUAUAUUACCUGUAACAAGACCUUUCCAAAUAUUCUGUGAAUUUUGAUCCCGUGGCCUUGAAGUCUGACCUACUUUUCAAAAAAAUUAACAUUACCUUAAAUUUGUCAUUACUUUUGAAUGAGAAAAGAUAGGACUUUCAUAUUAUGCCUGUUCAUUACCUAUGACAAGACUUUUGAAAUUAUACUAUGACUUUUGACCCCGUGACCUUGAUCUUGAAGUUUGACCUACUUUUCAAAAAAUUAACAUUUCUUUAAAUUGGUCAUUAAAUUUAAAUGAGAAAA
Molecule: long non-coding RNA, 1843 nt
Organism: Saccostrea echinata
Lineage: Eukaryota; Metazoa; Mollusca; Bivalvia; Ostreida; Ostreidae
Exons: 3
Source: RefSeq, a predicted model, not a curated record